AUUGUUUAUCAGCCUUUGGCUAUGAUCAAGUAUAGUAUCCAUUUGUAUCAGUUUGAUAUCUCAUAUUCCUCUAUCAGAGAACAGUGCAUUUGAUGUUUUUUUUCCAGCUGGAAGAUAGAAUAAGAGCUUGAUUCCCUGAUUCAAGAUGUUCUGGUACUUCCGUACUUUUGAAAAUGUGCACCCUUC
Small nuclear RNA from Mastomys coucha (southern multimammate mouse), 186 nucleotides. RefSeq annotates it as U2 spliceosomal RNA. NCBI's taxonomy places the organism in Eukaryota, Metazoa, Chordata, Mammalia, Rodentia, Muridae. The record is from RefSeq and is a predicted model, not a curated record. The transcript has a single exon.